RNAcentral lists this ribosomal RNA (253 nucleotides) under uncultured bacterium. RNAcentral describes it as "partial 16S ribosomal RNA". It matches the Rfam family "Bacterial small subunit ribosomal RNA", at positions 524 to 776 of the family's 1533-position model. The record is from RNAcentral.
UACGGGGGGAGCAAGCGUUGUUCGGAUUUACUGGGCGUAAAGGGCGCGUAGGCGGCCCGGUAAGUAGGGGGUGAAAUCCUGCGGCUUAACCGCAGGGCUGCCUUCUAAACUGUCGGGCUCGAGCACGGUAGAGGCAGAUGGAAUUCCCGGUGUAGCGGUGGAAUGCGUAGAGAUCGGGAAGAACAUCAGUGGCGAAGGCGGUCUGCUGGGCCGUUGCUGACGCUGAGGCGCGACAGCGUGGGGAGCAAACAGG